Oncorhynchus keta (chum salmon) is the source of this 280-nucleotide long non-coding RNA. RefSeq lists it as uncharacterized. The record is from RefSeq and is a predicted model, not a curated record. Lineage: Eukaryota; Metazoa; Chordata; Actinopteri; Salmoniformes; Salmonidae. The transcript is spliced from 3 exons.
GAGAGGUUAUGUUAGUGGGCAGGUACAGAGAGAGGUUAUGUUAGUGGGCAGGUACAGAGAGAGGUUAUGUUAGUGGGCAGGUACAGAGAGAGGUUAUGUUAGUGGGCAGGUACAGAGAGAGGUUAUGUUAGUGGGCAGGUACAGAGAGAGGUUAUGUCAGUGGGCAGGUACAGAGAGAGGUUAUGUCAGUGGGCAGGUACAGAGAGAGGUUAUGUCAGUGGGCAGGUACAGAGAGAGGUUAUGUUAGUGGGCAGGUACAGAGAGAGAGGUUAUGUUAGUG